GCGAGCGGGGGGGCGGAAGGAGGGGUAAGAGGGGGGGUGGGAGGGGUGGUCGGAGUCGCUGGGCGUAAAGGGGGCGGAGGCGGUUGGGUAAGGUGGUGGGGAAAACCCGGGGCUCAGCUGCGGGGCGGCCGGCACGACUGCGGGACUUGAGGAGGUGAGGGGCAGAUGGAAUUCCCGGUGUAGCGGUGGAAUGCGUAGAGAUCGGGAAGAAUACCAGUGGCGAAGGCGUUCUGCUGGGCCGUUGCUGACGCUGAGGCGCGACAGCGUGGGGAGCAAACAGGAUUAGAUACCCGUGUAGUC
This 300-nucleotide ribosomal RNA is filed under the name uncultured Eggerthella sp. RNAcentral describes it as "partial 16S ribosomal RNA". The stretch from base 52 to 300 matches the Rfam family "Bacterial small subunit ribosomal RNA", at positions 547 to 795 of the family's 1533-position model. Lineage: Bacteria; Bacillati; Actinomycetota; Coriobacteriia; Eggerthellales; Eggerthellaceae. The record is from RNAcentral.